CUGGAAUGGGAUAGCUCCUUCUGGAAUGGGAUAGCUCUCUCUGGAAUGGGUGAACAACUCCCUCUGGAAUGGGGGAGCUCCCUCUGGAUUGGGUGAACUCAUUGUGGAAUGGGAUUGCUCAUUCUGGAAUGGGAUAAAUCCCUCUGGAAUGGGAUAGCUCCUUCUGGAAUGGGCGAACUCAUUGUGGAAUGGGAUAGCUCCCUCUGGAAUGGGAUAAAUCCCUCUGGAAUGGGAUAGCUUGUUCUGGAAUGGGAUAGCUCCUUCUGGAAUGGGUGAAUAACUCCCUCUGGAAUGGGAUAACCCUCUGGAAUACGUGAAUUCAUUCUGGGAUGGGAUAGCUCCUUCUGGAAUGGGGUAGAUCCCUCUGGAAUGGGAUAGCUCAUUCUGGAAUGGGAUAAAUCCCCCUGGAAUGGGAUAGCUUGUUCUGGAAUGGGAUGGCUCCUUCUGGAAUGGGUGAACUCAUUCUGGGAUGGGAUAGCUCCUUCUGGAAUGGGUGAACAACUCCCUCUGGAAUGGGGUAACUCCCUCUGGAAUGGGGUAAUUCCCUCUGGAACGGGGUGACUCCCUCUGCAAGGGGGUGACUCCCUUCAGGACAGGUUAACUCCCUUUGCUUUGGCUCUUCCCUCGAUUCCAUGUGCACACACUACAGGAGAACACCGAGGACAGGCAGGUUUGGCUCACGGAUGGAGGAAGGCUGUGAUGGUGGCAGUAAAUCUCCUUUUGUUGCUGCUAAUUUAACUCGUUAAUUUUUCAUUUCAGACUCCCCAUUGACAUUGUUGUGUAUUUCCCCCCCUGCUCCAGGCCCUGCUCGGGACAUUCCCAUGGGUGAGGCUUUCUGGGCCCCUGGGCUGGGUGCUGGCAAGGGAUGGGCACAGACACAGCCCAGGAGCUGCAGGUGACCCCAGACCAGCCCGGCAGGAGCAUUCCCAGCACAGGGCCAGGGACAGCCCCUCCUGUCCAGCUCCUGGGGCUGUUCCCAAGGGAGAAUCCCAAAGCCCAGACCGGGCCCAGCUGCUGCUGCUGCUCAGGGGUGCCAGGGUCCAGCCUGGUUAUCCCUGACAGCAAAAUGGGAAAACACAGGGAAAGCCCUGCAGGGGUUUUCAGGGGAUCCCAGUGCCCUGGAGCAAUGGCCAGGGGCUGAGGGACAGCUGGCUCUGGGAUCACCUGCACCAUUCCCACCCAAAAUCCCACAGCCCACGGGGAUGUUCCCUUCUCCAAGAAUUCCCAAACCUUCUCUCUCUCUGGCUGUGGGACCUGGGCAGCUGCAGGCCCAGGGAAGCCCCCACCCCUGAUAAUUUCCCAUUUUCCCAGUGCCAGCUCACAGUUCCUACCCAGGCGAUGGCAAACCAGGAAAGUUCUCAGCCAGUUGUUCCCAACAGCGACCAUUUAACAUCCUCAAAUCCGGUCUCAUGUUUUCCAAGGUAUUUUUUAACACAUCCACGUCUGCAUCUGUGUUUGGUGGCAGUGCCAGCCCUGGGAGGGGACAGGGGGCUCCACACAGGGAGCAGGCAGGACAAGGCUGAGGGUGAUGGGGCAGCUGAGAGCAGAGCCAAGGAAAUCCAGGAAAAAUCUGAGCAGGAAAUGUCCAGGAAGUUGGUUUGCUGUUGGUAGUGAGCACUUGGAGUGUAAGGAUGUUAAAGCCCUUCCUAAAGAGGCUCCAGGAGAGCUGCAGGACAGGGACUGGGGACAAGGGAUGGAGAGACAGGACACAGGGAAUGGCUCCCACUGCCAGAGGGCAGGGAUGGAUGGGAGAUUGGGAAUUGGGAAUUGUUCCUUGGGAGAGUGGGCAAGCCCUGGAAUAGAAUUCCCAGAGCAGCUGUGGCUGCCCCUGGAUCCCUGGCAGUGCCCAGGCCAGGCUGGAGCAGCCUGGGACAGUGGGAGGGGUCCCUGCCAUGGCAGGGGUGGCACUGGGUGGCUCUGAGGUCCCUUCCCCUCCAGCCCAUCCUGGGAUGCUGGGACCCCUUUGGGAGUGCUGGGACCCCUUUGGGAGGCUGGGACCCCUUUGGGAGGCUGGGACCCCUUUGGGAGAUUGGGACCCCUUUGGGAGGCUGGGACCCCUCUCUGCUGGAGUUCAGCCCUGAUUACCUGAUGCAAUCACAGAUGCCUCUGCACAGAGCUCUGGGGGAUGCAAGGGCAGGGAAUGCAAACCCAGGGAAAUGAACCCCCCAAUGGGAUCAGCCGAGGGCAGGGCUCAGGGGAGGCCCCGCUCCCAGGGGAUCAGGGUGUUUAUUCCGUUUAUUCCCAGGAGCUGCCCUGGGAAUGGGUGAGGGAUGUCCUGCUGGCACCCCUGGCCAGGCAGAGCCUGUCCCACAGCAGCGGGGAUGGGGACAGGUCCCCAGAUGGCUCAGGGGGUGACAGAGCUGCGGGGUCAGCACCCACCCUGGCAGGGUUUGGCCAUAAACAAACACAGCAAGCCCCACCUCAGCUCGAGGAAGAAUUUCUUUCCCUGGGGUGGCAGGGCCCUGAGCAGGGUCUGGGGUUUCCCUCUCUGGGGACAUCCCAACCCCACCCGGACACGUCCCCGUGUCCCCUGCCCCAGGCUGGGCUGGAUGGUGCCCAGAGGUCCCUGCUGUGAUUCUGUGAACUGGUGGCAUUCACAGUUAGAACUCCCAAAGGAAACUGGGGAUGCUGUGCCAGCUGGAGCUCCCUGCCCGUGCCCGUCCCUCGCCAUCCCUCUGGAAGUGCCCGGCUCCAGGGCAGGCCCCCGUGCCCACACAGCUUCCUGGGCAGCAGCUGGGGCACCACACGGACCCAGGGACCCACGGGGAGCUGGCCUGGCCCUGGAGCCACGGGUGGGCACAGCUGUGGUGCCACCGGGGCCAGGCCCUGGCAGUUCCCCCACCCAACCCCAAACGGCACCGUUUGCAAAUCCCGGAAUUUCAAACCAAAAAGAAAUGAACCCCCCCCCCACACACACACACACACAAAAAAGCUUUUAGCCAAUCCUCUCCCUGGCUGAUUCCAGCUGAUGUAGUGGAAGUGACUGACUGGCACCAGUCCGGGCACUCCUGGCACUGCCCUGUGUCCCUUGGGUGGCGGUGGCUGUGUCCCCUCCCUCCUCCUCCUCCUCCUCCUCCUCCUCCCCGGGCAGGGCACUCUCAUCACUUCGGUUUUCUACCUGUGAGUACUGUAUCCAGUUCAGAACCAACAGCUUCCUUUAGUAAAGAUUUUACCAUUUUAUAAAAGACAUGUUUAAUUAUGAUGGAGAUGGCUGUAUUGUAAUUAAUAUUUUGAGAUAAUUGUGAUUUUGAGCUUAAAUUAUAUACAGAAAUGGUCAUUUUUGUAUGUGUUCAAAGAUUGCUAUAUUCCAGAUGACUGUACUUUUCAGUUGAAUUCCAGUAUCCAUGUAAAUAAAGCUGAAUGAGGAAAUAUUUACUACUUUAUUAACAUAGAUUGUGAAUGUACUUCAUGUUUUUUGCAGUAUAAAGACUUACUGAACUUGAAAGCUGCUUCAUUUUAUGUGCAAAAAGGUACUUCAAAAAUUCUAUUUUAAAUCUAUUGAUUGAGUGCAAUCAGCUCCUGUCCCCUGGCACAUGCAGGUUGUCCCCUCCCCGUGCUGUGGGGCUGCUGCAUUUGGCAGCUGCUCUGCAAAGAGGGAGCCCAGGGACUGAACCGAUGCUGUGCAGUGCAGCAGAGCCAUUUUCGGCUUUGCUGUACCCACCUUUUUCAGUAUUUCCAAAAAAAAAAAGUGUUUUGAAUAACAUUAAAAAGUCUCUUUAUUGUAUAAAUAAUAAAAACGUCACCUUAUUGUAAGGCU
This is a long non-coding RNA of Zonotrichia leucophrys gambelii, 3757 nucleotides long. RefSeq lists it as uncharacterized. Lineage: Eukaryota; Metazoa; Chordata; Aves; Passeriformes; Passerellidae. The transcript has 2 exons. The record is from RefSeq and is a predicted model, not a curated record.